Molecule: ribosomal RNA, 271 nt
Filed under: uncultured bacterium
Lineage: Bacteria
Description: partial 16S ribosomal RNA
Rfam family: Bacterial small subunit ribosomal RNA
Source: RNAcentral
UACGUAGGACCCCAAGCGUUGUUCGGAAUUACUGGGCUUAAAGGGCGCGUAGGCGGUGAGACAAGUCUGAGGUGAAAUCUUAGGGCUUAACCCUAAACUGCCUUGGAAACUGUUUUACUUGAGUCAGCGAGGGGAUGGUGGAAUUCCCGGUGUAGCAGUGAAAUGCGUAGAUAUCGGGAGGAAGGCCGGUGGCGAAGGCGACCAUCUGGCGCUGAACUGACGCUGAGGCGCGAAAGCGUGGGUAGCAAACAGGAUUAGAUACCCGGGUAGU